CACGAAGUUAGCCGGGGCUUCUUCUGUGGGUACCGUCAUUAUCGUCCCCACUGAAAGAGCUUUACAACCCUAGGGCCUUCAUCACUCACGCGGCAUGGCUGGAUCAGGCUUGCGCCCAUUGUCCAAUAUUCCCCACUGCUGCCUCCCGUAGGAGUUUGGGCCGUGUCUCAGUCCCAAUGUGGCUGAUCAUCCUCUUAGACCAGCUACCGAUCGUCGCCUUGGUAGGCCUUUACCCCACCAACUAGCUAAUCGGACGCGGGCUCAUCCUGAACCGAUAAAUCUUUGCCCCUCAGGGCACAUGCGGUAUUAAUUCCAGUUUCCCGGAGCUAUUCCGCAGUUCAGGGUAGAUUCCCACGCGUUACUCACCCGUCUGCCGCUCCCCUUGCGGGCGCUCGACUUGCAUGUGUUAAGCCUGCCGCCAGCGUUCGUUCUGAGCCAGGAUCAAACUCU
RNAcentral lists this ribosomal RNA (450 nucleotides) under uncultured Aurantimonas sp. RNAcentral describes it as "partial 16S ribosomal RNA". Lineage: Bacteria; Pseudomonadati; Pseudomonadota; Alphaproteobacteria; Hyphomicrobiales; Aurantimonadaceae. The record is from RNAcentral.